Molecule: non-coding RNA, 2702 nt
Organism: Pelobates cultripes (western spadefoot toad)
Lineage: Eukaryota; Metazoa; Chordata; Amphibia; Anura; Pelobatidae
Source: the annotation of a GenBank genome assembly
GGAUGCAUGGAAUAGCCUUCCAGCUGAAGUGGUAGAGGUUAACACAGUAAAGGAGUUUAAGCAUGCAUGGGAUAGGCAUAAGGCUAUCCUAACUAUAAGAUAAGGCUAGGGACUAAUGAAAGUUUUUAGAAAAUUGGGCAGACUAGAUGGGCCGAAUGGUUCUUAUCUGCCGUCACACUCUAUGUUUCUAUGUUUCUAUGUACCGCUGUCAGGUCUCCAAUGUAUCCUCUCUUUCUUUAAUCCUUUUGAACUUUUUAGAGUCUCCUACCCCUAGGACCAACUUUGACCCAAAGUAAUCCAGCAAAGAUAAAUGUGGGAGGAGGUUCCAUCACCUUGAUCUUUUGGUAGACUUUAUUGUAGCAUCAAGGUAAAAUCACACCAACAUGUGCACGCAUGAUUAAGACCCUGGUCAAAAUGUUAAUGUGAUUUUACCUUACUUUAUCCUUAUUUGGCCCUGGUUAAAGGACCACUAUAGUGCCAGGUAAACAUACUCAUUUUACUAGCACUAUAGUGCCCACCCUCAGUGACUACCUCCCGCCCGGCUCUAGGGGGAGGAAGGGGUUAAACUUACCUCUGCGCAUUCAGCGACGUCAUCGGCUAAUGCGCAUGCGCGGUAGGAGCCGCGAGCGCAUUCAGCCAGUCCAAAGGAAAGCAUUCUCAAUGCUUUCCUAUGGAAGCUGGCAUCUUCUCACUGUGAAAAUCACAGUGAGAAGCGCGGAAGCGCCUCUAGCGGCUGUCAAUGAGACAGCCACUAGAGGCUGGAUUUACCCAUAGGUAAACAUAGCAGUUUCUCUAAAACUGCUAUGUUUAUAGAAAAAGGGUUAAAUCUAGCUGGACCUGGCACCCAGACCACUUCAUUAAGCCGAAGUGGUCUGGGUGCCUAUAGUGGUCCUUUAAGCUGGUGUAAAACAUGCUGAGAACAUUUUGGGGGCAUUUGAACUAAGAGUUUUCCCAGUAACUCUAGUUCUGUAAGCUUUCCUCAGAUGAACGCCGCAGGUAAGUUCCAGGUGAAACAUGAAGAUUGUUUUAGACUGAAGCUGUUCUAUGACUUGAAUGCGGUCUAGUGAAGAUUACCAGCUCAGUUUACUAAUGCAGCCCCAAGUAGGGAAACCAAUCAAUUACUAAUUUGACAAGUUUACAUCAGGAAACUGUGCGCUUGCUUUUGUUAAUAAGAUAUUGAUUACAUUUUAAUUGCUGAUAAAUAUAAAUGAAGAGAGAAAAUUGUUGCUCAUUAUGGUUACAUUCAUUCAGGGGUGUCCAAAAGGGACAUUCCCAGAUGUUUUAAAACUACAGCUUCCAUGAUGCUUUGUAAAAUAAAGGCAUGGUAAGGGCAUACAAAUCAUCAUGGGAGUUGAAGUUUUACAACAUCUGGGGAUCUACAUUUUGGGCAGCCCUGCAUUAAUUGAACACUCUGCAGCCUGCCUCUGUGGUAAAAUUUGGUACUACUUAAAAUGAGAGUAACUGUAGGAAGUGAAUGAAACGCUAGGUGGUGAUAUAUGCAUCAACUUUUUUCAUUUUUUAUUUUUAUUUUUUUUCCUGUAAAUCUAUCUCUCAUGCUCUUAUCUACUGAAGAUUCACCACAACUAAAUGUUCUUUUGAGAUAAAACUCUGAUAAAUCCUGUAAAAUAAAAAAAAAACAACUGUAAAACUGUUCACAGAAAUAUUCAUUUUAUUAAAAUGUGAAGACAAAGAAAAACCAUGUAUAUUGUUUUACAUUAAAUUAUUAUAUUGUUUUAUUUAUUAAAGUAUAACCUGUAUUGCCAAAUUGGAUCAAUAUUUCAUCUUUCAUACUGCCCUUGAAGCUUUAUCACCCAUAGCAACAAAUUGGUCAUCAUCAAAAAUCCUUUUAAUUGAGAUGAGCAGACAACAGAUAAAACAGACCCGUAUGUAUCUGAUUUUGGAACCAGCUCCAAGUCCCAAAAAGUUUGGGAAAUAGCAUGGAAACAAUGGAAACCUUCUUCCAAUAAAUAUGAAACGGUUUUAACAAAACUAAGUAUGAGAAUACUGUAAUAGUUGAUACGAUUAACACGAAAGGGGUUAUUCAGGAUUAUUGCUGCUCCUUACUUGCAUGAUUUGACUGAGAUCAAGCACUCAGGGUUCUCACAUUGGAAGAGCUAGGAUUGGUUUGAUACCUUAUGUUUAAUUUUCCUCAUGCUCUGUAACCACAAUCUAUUAUGUUAGGGACACUGCUGGACAUAAUUAGUGUUUAUGGGAGACUCCACCUCCCCCUGCCCUCCCCAGUUACACAGACUAAAUUAUUUCCUUUAUAUUUUUAUAUAUAGUUAUGUCUUAUAAAUGAAGUUGAUGAAGAUCCAUGUCUUUAUAUACACUUUGCAAUCAUUGCUCAGAUACAGGUUUUCAUUGCAUAUACUCAGAAAGUACCUAGCAAUAUUAUAUCUGUAUGACUGAAUCCUGGAACAGAGGGACAUUAACACAAAUUUGAGGCAGAACCUAUUGUUGAAUGGUACCUUGCAUUCUAUGUACAAAAUGUGUAAAUUUGUCUAAAUCUGUAACCUGUAUUUAUAAGCUGUCAAUCUCAAUAAAAAUAUGAUUUGUUAAAAAUAAAAUAAUUUUAAAGAUUGUAAAAUGUCAUAAAUUAAAAGAGAAUUUCAAAUUAAGGGAACAAUAACUGGAAUGUAAACCUCCUCUAAGUUAGCUAUGUAUUAUGUUUGACUCUGAAUAAAGCCAAGCCACACAUCACA